Molecule: ribosomal RNA, 530 nt
Filed under: uncultured bacterium
Lineage: Bacteria
Description: bacterial SSU rRNA
Rfam family: Bacterial small subunit ribosomal RNA
Source: RNAcentral
AAUAGAUACCCUGGUAGUCCAUGCCGUAAACGUUGGGCACUAGGUGUGGGGCUCAUUCCACGAGUUCCGUGCCGCAGCAAACGCAUUAAGUGCCCCGCCUGGGGAGUACGGCCGCAAGGCUAAAACUCAAAGGAAUUGACGGGGGCCCGCACAAGCGGCGGAGCAUGCGGAUUAAUUCGAUGCAACGCGAAGAACCUUACCAAGGCUUGACAUGCACGGGAAGCCACCAGAGAUGGUGGUCUCUUUGGACACUCGUGCACAGGUGGUGCAUGGUUGUCGUCAGCUCGUGUCGUGAGAUGUUGGGUUAAGUCCCGCAACGAGCGCAACCCUCGUCCCAUGUUGCCAGCGGGUUAUGCCGGGGACUCAUGGGAGACUGCCGGGGUCAACUCGGAGGAAGGUGGGGAUGACGUCAAAUCAUCAUGCCCCUUAUGUCUUGGGCUUCACGCAUGUUACAAUGGCCGGUACAAAGGGCUGCGAUGCCGUAAGGUGGAGCGAAUCCCGAAAAAGCCGGUCUCAGUUCGGAUUGGGGU